AGCGGCUGGAAGAGCACCGC
RNAcentral lists this small nuclear RNA (20 nucleotides) under Arabidopsis thaliana (thale cress). RNAcentral's name for it is "snRNA_07750". The record is from RNAcentral. Lineage: Eukaryota; Viridiplantae; Streptophyta; Magnoliopsida; Brassicales; Brassicaceae.